RNAcentral lists this ribosomal RNA (497 nucleotides) under uncultured bacterium. Its description in RNAcentral is "partial 16S ribosomal RNA". It matches the Rfam family "Bacterial small subunit ribosomal RNA", at positions 28 to 507 of the family's 1533-position model. The record is from RNAcentral.
GAUGAACGCUGGCGGCGUGCCUAAUACAUGCCAGUCGAGCGAACAGACGAGGAGCUUGCUCCUCUGACGUUAGCGGCGGACGGGUGAGUAACACGUGGAUAACCUACCUAUAAGACUGGGAUAACUUCGGGAAACCGGAGCUAAUACCGGAUAAUAUAUUGAACCGCAUGGUUCAAUAGUGAAAGACGGUUUUGCUGUCACUUAUAGAUGGAUCCGCGCCGCAUUAGCUAGUUGGUAAGGUAACGGCUUACCAAGGCAACGAUGCGUAGCCGACCUGAGAGGGUGAUCGGCCACACUGGAACUGAGACACGGUCCAGACUCCUACGGGAGGCAGUAGUAGGGAAUCUUCCGCAAUGGGCGAAAGCUUGACGGAGCAACGCCGCGUGAGUGAUGAAGGUCUUCGGAUCGUAAAACUCUGUUAUUAGGGAAGAACAAAUGUGUAAGUAACUAUGCACGUCUUGACGGUACCUAAUCAGAAAGCCACGGCUAACUACGUG